RNAcentral lists this transfer RNA (72 nucleotides) under Camelus dromedarius (Arabian camel). It matches the Rfam family "tRNA". Rfam says of the family: Transfer RNA (tRNA) molecules are approximately 80 nucleotides in length. Their secondary structure includes four short double-helical elements and three loops (D, anti-codon, and T loops). RNAcentral also lists the same sequence under 1 other name. Lineage: Eukaryota; Metazoa; Chordata; Mammalia; Artiodactyla; Camelidae. The record is from Rfam by way of RNAcentral.
GAGGGUAUAGCUCAGUGGUAGAGCGCGUGCUUAGCACGCACGAUGUCCUGGGUUCAAUCCCCAGUCCCUCCA